UUUCCAUAGGUGAACCUGCGGAAGAAUCAUUGUAGAGUUCCUUUUCAAGCAGAUGUGAAGUUGUACCAAUACCCAUUGAGAGCUAAUCGUUUUUGCUGUCAGCACUUGCAUUGUUUAGAUGGGUUCCCUUUGCUACCUUCAUCUUUGCUUCAUUUCAAGUGAGAAGUAGAGUAGAAAUAAAAGACCGGCAUAGUUUGGGCCAAGGAUAACUAUUGUUUGAGUACAUUGCCAUCUUUUUGAUGUCUUUGUGUUACUCUACGAGCGUAUACGUCUGAAUGACUCCAGGCAAUGGAUAUCUUGGCUCUC
RNAcentral lists this unclassified non-coding RNA (306 nucleotides) under root metagenome. RNAcentral describes it as "partial contains small subunit ribosomal RNA, internal transcribed spacer 1, and 5.8S ribosomal RNA". The record is from RNAcentral.